RNAcentral lists this ribosomal RNA (306 nucleotides) under uncultured soil bacterium. RNAcentral's name for it is "bacterial SSU rRNA". It matches the Rfam family "Bacterial small subunit ribosomal RNA", at positions 26 to 337 of the family's 1533-position model. The record is from RNAcentral.
AGGACGAACGCUGGCGGCGUGCUUAACACAUGCAAGUCGAGCGGAAAGGCCUUUCGGGGUACUCGAGCGGCGAACGGGUGAGUAACACGUGAGUAAUCUGCCCAUCGCUUCAGGAUAGCCAUCGGAAACGGUGAUUAAUACUGGAUAUGACAUUCCUUCGCAUGUUGGGGUGUGGAAAGUUUUUUCGGCGGUGGAUGUGCUCGCGGCCUAUCAGCUUGUUGGUGGGGUAAUGGCCUACCAAGGCUUUGACGGGUAGCCGGCCUGAGAGGGUGACCGGCACACUGGGACUGAGACACGGCCCAGACU